GAUAUGUGAAUACAUAGCAUAUCAGAAGGCACACCCGGAGAACUGAAACAUCUUAGUACCCGGAGGAAGAGAAAGAAAAUUCGAUUCCCUUAGUAGCGGCGAGCGAAACGGGAAGAGCCCAAACCAACAAGCUUGCUUGUUGGGGUUGUAGGACACUCUAUACGGAGUUACAAAGGACGACAUUAGACGAAUCAUCUGGAAAGAUGAAUCAAAGAAGGUAAUAAUCCUGUAGUCGAAAAUGUUGUCUCUCUUGAGUGGAUCCUGAGUACGACGGAGCACGUGAAAUUCCGUCGGAAUCUGGGAGGACCAUCUCCUAAGGCUAAAUACUCUCUAGUGACCGAUAGUGAACCAGUACCGUGAGGGAAAGGUGAAAAGCACCCCGGAAGGGGAGUGAAAUAGAACCUGAAACCGUGUGCUUACAAGUAGUCAGAGCCCGUUAAUGGGUGAUGGCGUGCCUUUUGUAGAAUGAACCGGCGAGUUACGAUUUGAUGCAAGGUUAAGCAGUAAAUGUGGAGCCGUAGCGAAAGCGAGUCUGAAUAGGGCGUUUAGUAUUUGGUCGUAGACCCGAAACCAGGUGAUCUACCCUUGGUCAGGUUGAAGUUCAGGUAACACUGAAUGGAGGACCGAACCGACUUACGUUGAAAAGUGAGCGGAUGA
Molecule: ribosomal RNA, 657 nt
Filed under: Staphylococcus aureus
Lineage: Bacteria; Bacillati; Bacillota; Bacilli; Caryophanales; Staphylococcaceae
Description: partial 23S ribosomal RNA
Rfam family: Bacterial large subunit ribosomal RNA
Source: RNAcentral